Molecule: transfer RNA, 91 nt
Filed under: Burkholderiaceae bacterium
Lineage: Bacteria; Pseudomonadati; Pseudomonadota; Betaproteobacteria; Burkholderiales; Burkholderiaceae
Description: tRNA-Ser
Rfam family: tRNA
About the family: Transfer RNA (tRNA) molecules are approximately 80 nucleotides in length. Their secondary structure includes four short double-helical elements and three loops (D, anti-codon, and T loops). Further hydrogen bonds mediate the characteristic L-shaped molecular structure. tRNAs have two regions of fundamental functional importance: the anti-codon, which is responsible for specific mRNA codon recognition, and the 3' end, to which the tRNAs corresponding amino acid is attached (by aminoacyl-tRNA synthetases). tRNAs cope with the degeneracy of the genetic code in two manners: having more than one tRNA (with a specific anti-codon) for a particular amino acid; and 'wobble' base-pairing, i.e. permitting non-standard base-pairing at the 3rd anti-codon position.
Source: RNAcentral
GGAGAGCUGGCAGAGUGGUCGAUUGCGGCGGUCUUGAAAACCGUUAGGGGUUAACAGCCCCUCGGGGGUUCGAAUCCCUCGCUCUCCGCCA